RNAcentral lists this ribosomal RNA (453 nucleotides) under bacterium AC2003B. Its description in RNAcentral is "bacterial SSU rRNA". It matches the Rfam family "Bacterial small subunit ribosomal RNA", at positions 28 to 477 of the family's 1533-position model. The record is from RNAcentral.
GAUGAACGCUGGCGGCGUGCCUAAUACAUGCAAGUCGAACGGGAAUCUUCGGAUUCCAGUGGCGAACGGGUGAGGAAUACAUAGGUAACCUGCCCCUCCGAGGGGGACAACAGACGGAAACAUCUGCUAAGACCGCAUAGCCACAGGGAAGGCAUCUUCCCUGUGCCAAAUGUCCUUUCGGGGACAGCGGGGGGAUGGACCUAUGCCGCAUUAGCUGGUUGGCGGGGCAACGGCCCACCAAGGCGACGAUGCGUAGCCGGCCUGAGAGGGCGGACGGCCACACUGGGACUGAGACACGGCCCAGACUCCUACGGGAGGCAGCAGUAGGGAAUUUUCGGCAAUGGGGGAAACCCUGACCGAGCAACGCCGCGUGAACGAUGAAGGCCUUCGGGUCGUAAAGUUCUGUUGCGAAGGAAGAACGCCGGUGUCAGGAAAUGGCGCCGGGUGACGGUA